This is a long non-coding RNA of Hemibagrus wyckioides, 1028 nucleotides long. RefSeq lists it as uncharacterized. The transcript is spliced from 2 exons. NCBI's taxonomy places the organism in Eukaryota, Metazoa, Chordata, Actinopteri, Siluriformes, Bagridae. The record is from RefSeq and is a predicted model, not a curated record.
UACAUACAUUAUUUGGCAGAUACAAUGUGGUCAGAAGCCGGUUUAUGUUUUAGAUCAGCCUCUGCGCUCUCUAAAGCUCUACUUGCAAUAUUGCUCAUUGCAAAUAAACAAUAGCUGAUAAACAAUGAAAAUAUAGUGUUAAUAUAUAUAUAUAGGAAGUGUACACGGAGGAGCAAAUUGCAAGACUGUAAACUUUGAAUGGAGGCACGUCACUUCUGGGCAAAUUUGCACAGAUAUUAAAUUUCGGCCCUCUCAUUUUAGUCUUAGGCCUAAUGCGAGGCUGAAUUUUUAUAGCGCGCUGAUCGAUAUCGCUGUAAAAAUAAUCAUUUUUUUAAACUAGCGGGGCAGCGAAAUCUUUGCUUUGUGCUAAAGUCAACAGUGGCAGAGUUUGAGCUCAAAUAAAUGCCGCUGUGCCUGGAGCACUUUGCAGAAGGCAGCGGGGAAGCAGCGGACUCUCACGCCUUUCCUUUACAACAGCUUACAGGUAUGGAUCAAUUUGCAAAAGAUCAUCAGGUUCAGUCCUAACCCUUCAAACCACGCUGGAAGUGUUAGCUUGCCAAUCAUCCUCACAACACCUUCACCUGCGACUCAGCAGUCACGUCUGACCUGGCCGUGUAUGCGAGAUAACAUUCGCGUCUGCAGAGCUGAGAGGGGGGACAAAAGGAAGUUUGACGUUAAUGAUUAACGGCGCUAAAAGCCCCUGCUUUUGUAUUCCCAUGGUACCGAGGCUAUCUGGUGGCCAUGUGACCUGCGUGGAGGAGAUUGGGGGUGAGCGGUAGAGCAAACACAGGUGCUGUGUUUGAGUUGGAGUCGCCUGCGCUGUCAGGGACAACCACAAACACACACAGCCAUGCCAAGCUCCACAAACAGCCGCCUACGCCAACAGAUCAAGUCCAAUGUGCUCCUCCCCAUCUUCCUAUAUGUUCCACAUCGGAAAAGUAUCUACCAUGUUUAGUGCAUCUUUAAGGAAAUAAAAACACACAAUUGCCUUUAAACUGUAUAAUAAAACCUAAUAAUAUAAAUAUUAA